RNAcentral lists this ribosomal RNA (387 nucleotides) under uncultured bacterium. Its description in RNAcentral is "bacterial SSU rRNA". It matches the Rfam family "Bacterial small subunit ribosomal RNA", at positions 28 to 417 of the family's 1533-position model. The record is from RNAcentral.
GACGAACGCUGGCGGCGUGCUUAACACAUGCAAGUCGAGCGGUAAGGCCCUUUCGGGGGUACACGAGCGGCGAACGGGUGAGUAACACGUGGGUGACCUGCCCUCAGCUCUGGGAUAAGCCUGGGAAACCGGGUCUAAUACCGGAUAUGACUCCAUGACGCAUGUUGUGGGGUGGAAAGCCUUGUGCGGCUGAGGAUGGGCCCGCGGCCUAUCAGCUUGUUGGUGGGGUGAUGGCCACCAAGGCGACGACGGGUAGCCGGCCUGAGAGGGCGACCGGCCACACUGGGACUGAGACACGGCCCAGACUCCUACGGGAGGCAGCAGUGGGGAAUCUUGCGCAAUGGGCGAAAGCCUGACGCAGCGACGCCGCGUGAGGGAUGACGGCCU